This 1103-nucleotide long non-coding RNA is filed under the name Serinus canaria (Common canary). RNAcentral describes it as "lncRNA (ENSSCAG00000011332.1)". The record is from RNAcentral. Lineage: Eukaryota; Metazoa; Chordata; Aves; Passeriformes; Fringillidae.
UUGAGAAGCUCGGCUGUACUUCACUCAGCUGAAGUGGCACACCAAACUCACUGUACUAAGAAGGAAGUUGUAGCAAAGGAUUUAUUGUGCAACUGAGAUGCAGAUGAUAGCAAUUCCAUUCUCUUCUGCAUUUUAGAUAUCCUACUCGAUUGCACAAGCACCUCUAUCCCUGAAACAAAGAGAUCCCAUCUUUAAAAUGAUAACACCAGCUCACAGCAGUGUUGUAAAAUAAAUAUAAACAGUCUAACUGCCAAAACUGUGACUCAAUAACAGUACUUUAUGUGUAUUCACAAGCUGACCUUCUAUAGUCAUCCUCCCAACAGAUUCUGUUUCAGCCUUCAAAUUUCUUCCUCUUCUUCUUUCUUCUUCUUCCUUCUUCUUCCUUCUUCUUCUUCUUUCUUCUUCUUCCUUCUUCUUCUUCUUCUUUCUUCUUCUUCCUUCUUCCUUCUUCUUCUUCCUUCUUAUUCUUCCUUCUUCUUCUUUCUUCUUCUUCCUUCUUCUUCUUCCUUCUUCCUUCUUCUUCCUUCUUCUCCUUCCUUCUUCUUCCUUCUUCUCCUUCCUUCUUCUUCCUUCUUUGUCCUUCUUCCUUCUUUCUUCUUCUUCUUUUUUCUUCUUCUUUCUUCUUCUUCCUUCUUCCUUCUUCCUUCUUCCUUCUUCCUUCUUCCUUCUUCCUUCUUCUUCUUCCUUCUUCUCCUUCCUUCUUCUUCUUCCUUCUUCUCCUUCCUUCUUCUUCCUUCUUUCUUCUUCCUUCUUUCUUCUUCUUCCUUCUUCUUUCUUCUUCUUCCUUCUUCUUCCUUCUUCCUUCUUCUUCCUUCUUCUCCUUCUUCCUUCUUCUCCUUCUCCUUCUUCCUUCUUCUUCUUCUUCUUUCUUCUUCUUCCUUCUUUCUUCUUCUUCCUUCUUUCUUCUUCUUCCUUCUUCUUCUUUCUUCUUCUUUUUUUUUCUUCUUCUUUUUCUUUCUUCUUCUUCUUCUUCCUUCUCCUUCUCCUUUCUUCUUCUUCUCCUUCUCCUUUCUUGCUUUGGAUGCCUGCAGGUGGUAAAGCUUCCUGGAGGUGCAAGAUCCCACAUCUUGCUGUUCAGGCUAAACUCUCUUAGGACACCUGGG